AUGGCCUCCUUACUGGUAUUUUUUGUCUUAAAAAAAAGAUUGGUACUAUCACUGGCACAGCCAGGCCAACUUUCGCCAGGGCCUAGCACAUUGCCCUAGGUCGGUAACAUGCAUCAGAUGACUUGGAACAAGCCGGCAGUAUUCCAGUGGAUCCAUCGUCUGUGCAAGGAGAUGGACACAGACAUCUGUCUCGAUCUCGGGGUGACUCAUGUCAUUGCUGUGACAUGCCUCGACAUAGCCUGCGAGGUACUACGAAAAAAUGACAAAGUAUUGGCCUCCUGUCCCACCACCUUCGCCUCGGGAUCAUUCAGCCUCGGGUACAAGGGCACCAUUAUCACACCACACGGAAAGCAGUGGAGUAAGAUGAGGCGGGUCCUCACACCAUCCAUGGAGCGAGAACUCCACCACCUGCGGAAGGAAGAGUCUGACCAUCUUGUAAGCUACAUCAACAACACUUCCACGUCUUAUCCAAGCAACUUAGUUGAUGUGUGCCAUGUCGCCCAACACUUCUGUGGUAACAUGAUAAGAAGGCUUGUGUUGGGUUAGAGAUACUUCUACAGUAAUCCCGCUACCUCAUCGACUAGCGGGCCCGGACUUGACGAGAUGAUACAUGUUUCUGCUCUUUUCACGCUCCUCAACCACCUCUUCAGCUUUUGUGUGUUAGACUACUUCCCAGUCCUCCAAGGGCUGGAUUUGGAGGGCCAUGAGAUAGUUUCCAAGAAUGUCAUGAAAACAGUCAACCAGUUGCAUGAUCUCAUUAUAGAGGAGGCGAUCCGUGAAAGGUCGACUCUUCACAGUGGUGGUGAAAAGAAAGAGGAUAGGGACUUUUUGGAUGUCCUUGUUUCUCUUGAAGCUGCAGACGGACAACCACUGCUCUCCGUAGAUGAUAUUAGGACACAUAUAGUGGAAAUGAUGUAUGCAACAGUUGAUAACCCAUCAAAUGUUGUUGAGUGGGCGCUCGCUGAGAUGGCGAACAUGCGAAAGGUCAUGCAAAAAGCAAAGAUGAACUCGACGUCGUUCUUCGCAAAGAUAGACUUGUCCAGGAGUGACAUUUCUCAGCUAAAUUAUCUGAAAGCUUGCAUCCGGGAGGCUUUUUAUAUACACUACCUUGCUUUUAACCCACCUCAUGUUGCCAUGGCUGACGCCAACGUUGCUAGCUACACUAUCCCUAAGGGUAGCCAUGUCAUCUGAAGCCGGAUGGGUCUUGGUCGGAACCCCAGGAUUUGGGAUGAACCCCUCGAGUUUCGGCCGAAUAGGCAUUUGAAUGCCACGGACGUAGUUCUCCAUGAGCCAGGAUUGCGUAUUUCAUUUAACGGUGGGAGGAGGGGUUGUCCUGGGAUUUCACUUGGUACAUCUGUCAUGAUGAUGUUGUUCGCAAGGAUGUUACACGGAUUCACCGGGACGAAGCCUGGCGCUGAAAGUACACGCCUUGAAGAAUCCAAUACCGGCGCCCUUACCCUAGUGGAACCGCCGGUUUUGCAAGCUAAACCAAGGUUGGUCGCACAUAUAUGUGAGAAAAUUAAAUAG
This 1527-nucleotide ribosomal RNA is filed under the name Triticum aestivum (bread wheat). Its description in RNAcentral is "partial small subunit ribosomal RNA". Lineage: Eukaryota; Viridiplantae; Streptophyta; Magnoliopsida; Poales; Poaceae. The record is from RNAcentral.